GAUGUAGAAACUUAUUAAACCCUUAUUCGAAACAAUGGGAAAAAGUAGAAAAAUAAAAAUUAUGUUAGCGGGCUUACGUGAUUAUACUAAGAGAAAACUCGCAUUAUAUGUUAAAAAAAUGUAAAUAUUGUUUAGCAUAACAAACAUAUCGAUUAACUAUAUUUGCAGAAAAUUAGAAAUCCCACCAAAGACGCAUACACAUUUAUGACAGCUCUAAAAUGUUAUAUCGCAAAAAUACAAACACAGUUAUGACAGUUCUAAAAUGUUAUUUUUCAAAAUACACAUACACAUUUAUGACAGUUUUUAAAAUGUUAUGACAUUCUGUAAGGGGGUUUAUGUAACUAUAAUAUGAGAAAACUCGCAUUAUAUGUUAAAAAAGUGUAAAUAUUGUUUAGCAUAACAAAUAUAUUGAAUAACUAUAAUUGCAGAAAAUUAGAAAUCCUUCCAAAGAUACACACACUCACACACACACACACAUUGAUGAUAGUUAUAAAAUGAUAUGAUAUUCUAUACAUUACAAUAUUGAUUAUAAAAAAUGAAAAAUAUAUAUGUUUAUGCGUUCUAUAGCAUAGUGUAAAAUAUAAUUUGAUAUAAACCAUUGAAAUUAAUACUAAAAAAUUCAUAUGAUACUAUGAAUAUAUGAAAGUAUUAAAAAAAAAAAAAAGAAAAAAAAAAAAAAAAAAAAAAAAAAAAAAAAAAAAAAAAAAAAAAGCAUUUAUGAGAAUUAUAGUACAAAAUGUAUAUAUAUAUAUAUAUAUAUAUACACAUAAUUUUUUUUAUUGUUUUAAAGAGAUAUAUGAGAAAAUAACAUAAUUCCAAGAUAUCUGAUAUAAAAAUUUAUUUCUUUUGUUUCUUUCUGAUUGUUAAAAUAACGAAAAAUAACAAAGAUACAGUUUAUUUAUUUUUAUAUAUAAAAAAAUAAAAUAAAAUAAAAGCAAUAUAAACA
Molecule: long non-coding RNA, 946 nt
Filed under: Piliocolobus tephrosceles (Ugandan red Colobus)
Lineage: Eukaryota; Metazoa; Chordata; Mammalia; Primates; Cercopithecidae
Description: lncRNA (ENSPTEG00000000617.1)
Source: RNAcentral